RNAcentral lists this ribosomal RNA (253 nucleotides) under uncultured bacterium. Its description in RNAcentral is "partial 16S ribosomal RNA". It matches the Rfam family "Bacterial small subunit ribosomal RNA", at positions 524 to 776 of the family's 1533-position model. The record is from RNAcentral.
UACGGAGGGUGCAAGCGUUGUCCGGAUUUAUUGGGUUUAAAGGGUGCGUAGGCGGCCCUGUAAGUCAGUGGUGAAAGCCUCCAGCUCAACUGGAGAACUGCCAUUGAUACUGCAGGGCUUGAGUACAGACGAGGUUGGCGGAAUUGAUAGUGUAGCGGUGAAAUGCAUAGAUACUAUCAAGAACUCCGAUUGCGUAGGCAGCUAACUAGGCUGUAACUGACGCUGAGGCACGAAAGCGUGGGGAUCAAACAGG